This 952-nucleotide non-coding RNA is filed under the name Echinostoma caproni. Its description in RNAcentral is "Eukaryotic large subunit ribosomal RNA". It matches the Rfam family "Eukaryotic large subunit ribosomal RNA", at positions 1 to 677 of the family's 3401-position model. The record is from Rfam by way of RNAcentral. Lineage: Eukaryota; Metazoa; Platyhelminthes; Trematoda; Plagiorchiida; Echinostomatidae.
AUUCAUGAGAAAAAAAAGCUCUACGCGCUGAAAAAUAAUUAGUCGUCUAUUUUUGAUUGGUAUUCACUAGGAGUAGAAUUGUGACUUCAACCUAACCACUAACCAUCCCCGGUCCGCAGGUGGACACAUCUGGUUGCUCGCGAGGAGGAAAAGCCCGUAUUGAAACAAUCUGGAUACUGUAGUUGAACUAAUCAUCUAGGUCUAAAUUAAAAUGACUGUUAUUUUACCAAUAAAGACCUUGGAGUCGGGUUGUUUGUGAUUACAGCCCAAAGUGGGUGGUAAACUCCAUCCAAGGCUAAAUACUUGCACGAGUCCGAUAGCGAACAAGUACCGUGAGGGAAAGUUGAAAAGUACUUUGAAGAGAGAGUAAACAGUGCGUGAAACCGCUCAGAGGUAAACGGGUGGAGUUGAACUGCAAGCUCCGAGGAUUCAGCUGGUGAGAUUGGCAUGAGCUUGGUCAUGUGGGUUGUGUGUUCGGGUCUGCUUAGCUGCAGGUCCUCGCCUUUGGUGGGGAUGCGCGUAUCGCUUAUCAAGCGUUGUGCGCCCGGGCUUCUCGAGCCUGCUCGCUAGUGCACUUUCUCGGAGUGUUCACCACGACCGGCGUUGCUGUCUGGCUGGUGCGGUUAAACCGGUCUUGUAGGGUCCUUGUGGCCUUGCUUGGUCGGGAUGGCAGGUAGCCCGUUGUGUACUUCGGUGUGCUUCGGGUGUAAUAGCCGACUGCAUCGGUUCUGUGCGGUACGUCGGAGACGGCGGCUUGUUGUGCGUGCGGGCGUGCCUGUUGCGCUGGCGGCUCUGAGUCUGGUUGCCUUGUUGCUUGUAAAUGCAGGCCAGGUGAUGGCUCGGGGUCGUUCGGUGUGCGGUUGCGUUCGUGGCACUUUAAAGGGCCUAAAGUCUGUGGUGUAGUGGUAGACUAUCCACCUGACCCGUCUUGAAACACGGACCAAGGAGAGUA